GAUGAACGCUAGCGGCAGGCCUAACACAUGCAAGUCGAGGGGUAACGAUGUCUUCGGACAGGCGACGACCGGCGCACGGGUGAGUAUCGCGUUUGUAACCUACCUUUAACUGGAGAAUAGCCCGAAGAAAUUCGGAUUAAUACUCCAUAACACUAUGAACUGGCAUCUUUUUAUAGUUAAAGCUCCGGCGGUUAAAGAUGGGCAUGCGUAACAUUAGAUUGUUGGUGAGGUAACGGCUCACCAAGUCUACGAUGUUUAGGGGGUCUGAGAGGAUGGUCCCCCACACUGGUACUGAGACACGGACCAGACUCCUACGGGAGGCAGCAGUGAGGAAUAUUGGUCAAUGGGCGAAAGCCUGAACCAGCCAUGCCGCGUGAAGGAUGACAGCGCUACGCGUUGUAAACUUCUUUUGUACAGGAAGAAACACUUCUACGUGUAGAAGCUUGACGGUACUGUACGAAUAAGCAUCGGCUAACUCCG
Molecule: ribosomal RNA, 480 nt
Filed under: uncultured Bacteroidales bacterium
Lineage: Bacteria; Pseudomonadati; Bacteroidota; Bacteroidia; Bacteroidales
Description: bacterial SSU rRNA
Rfam family: Bacterial small subunit ribosomal RNA
Source: RNAcentral